AACCCAAAUGACCUGGGACAGUUAAAGAAACAGGGUGCUUAAACUGAUUAAAAAAGGUAUCGCGUUGACAUCAUACGCUGGAAAGCUGGUUGGGGUCAUCUGGGACAUGCUACUUCUGAUUCUUCAAUCCAUAGUGCUCUUUUUCGGAUUGUUUGCAGGACUUCACAAGCAUUGGAGGCCAUACAGAUUGGUGCCACUAAAGUACUGUCAAUGUUGUUGAUGACAGCAGAUUUCUUGCCACCAUAUUUUUCUGCAAGCAUCUUUGGUCUAGAGGAUAAACAGGUAUAGAG
This is a long non-coding RNA of Humulus lupulus (European hop), 290 nucleotides long. RefSeq lists it as uncharacterized. The transcript is spliced from 3 exons. The record is from RefSeq and is a predicted model, not a curated record. NCBI's taxonomy places the organism in Eukaryota, Viridiplantae, Streptophyta, Magnoliopsida, Rosales, Cannabaceae.